UAGUACUGUGUGUGUGUGAGCGCAUCGACAGUGAAUACAAUCUAUCUUAAUCGCUACUUGAGUCUCAGCAUUAUUCCUCCGUGCUACAAUAUACUGGACCUAAUAGAUGUAAGUAAAAAGUUUCAUUCUUUUUUAAACUUUUUUGUUUAUGAAUAUUUGUUUAUAACUUUUACAGAAAUGGAUAGCCCUCCCUAAGAGCUAUCCAUUUCUGCAAAAUUUAUUAAUUUCGGGCUUAUAAUUUCCCCGAUAAUAAAUAUUAUAGUUUCAUAUAGGACUGGGAGGAGGAGAUUACACACUACCCGUUAAACCGCACCGAUCUGCCCUAAAAAUGGCUAACCAGUUUACCAUUCGAUUAAUUACUUUUUAAGCAAUUAUUUUGCAAAAAUGGAUAGAGAUUAUCAAGAGCUAUCCAUUUCAUCAAUUUUUUUUUAUUAUGAAUUAAUGGUUCUCCCGACUAUGAUUUUUAUUGGGGCAAGAAAUUCCCUGCGAUCCGUCAAACCACACCAACCUACAAAUAAAAAUAGCCAAUCGGUUUACUACUCAAGUAGAUCCUUUUAAAGCGAUAAUUUAACAGAAAUGGAUAUCUCUUGAUGAGGGCCAUCCAUUUCUGUAAAAUUUGUUUAUAACAUAUUUAUAUUUUUACGGAUAACGUUGAGUUAUUAAUACUUAUUAUACGUAGUAUAGAGGAAGUGACUGACGCGUACCCCCUACUGUUUUAAGAACGCACCAUACUAUUUUAAGAGAGAAAUUGCGGCUGGCGGCCAUGUUUAUCUCGAAACAUGGCUUCCAGCCGCAAAAGCUAAUCUUAAAACACCAAGGUGCGUUCGUAAAACAAUGGGGGUACGCGUCAGUCACUUGCUCUAUAUAGCGGCAGCGUCAUAGAACCCUGGUUCGUUCACGACAGGGGGGGAAUCGUCUGUCUUUGUGCUAAAAUUCGGAAAUAGCAGUCAGAGCCUCCAGCGGGUGUGUAAUGCACUACAUCGAAUGCACCAAUAAGGAAAUGUGUUUGAAAACUUAAACAGCCAAUUGCAGCAGUGAUAAGGAAACGAAUGAAGCAGACGACACUUGAAAAAUUGGAGAAUUUGUUGCAGUUUGAAAACAACCAACACCAGAUCAGUGCACCUAAUACAUAAAAAAAAAGAAAAAACAAUUCGAAUUCCUUAAAGAGUACGAAACAGUAAAUAAGUAUUAAGCGAGUUUUGACAUUUUAGCAUUUUUUCAUACAGCGAUUUGUUGGUUGAAAACCCAUCGCAGAUGCACGCUUUCACGAUAGCCCCAGCAUUGAAAAGACGUACAAUACUUUUCGUAACGAGUUCUAGUAAUACUACACCGGGAGCACCACCUUUAGUGCCAAACCACGCAAAUGGCUGGAUCCAACCUUGCAGAAAUGGCCUGAAGACGAACAUCAAUACGUGAUCAGCAAGUCCAUUUGGAACCAUGAUGGUAGUCUCCCCGGCAUAGUCGACGAUGCCUUUCCACUUAAGACUUCUAGUAUCGAAUCUCAUGUCUUUGGUUAUAGAAAUUUCAUCCCACAUCAGUGUGCCCCAGCGUUCGAAUGGUUGCAAUCCUUUCGAUGCCUCCAAUAUAUGCUCUAACGCAAGUGAAUUGAA
RNAcentral lists this long non-coding RNA (1610 nucleotides) under Daphnia magna. RNAcentral describes it as "uncharacterized LOC123470327, transcript variant X1". Lineage: Eukaryota; Metazoa; Arthropoda; Branchiopoda; Diplostraca; Daphniidae. The record is from RNAcentral.